This 253-nucleotide ribosomal RNA is filed under the name uncultured bacterium. RNAcentral's name for it is "partial 16S ribosomal RNA". It matches the Rfam family "Bacterial small subunit ribosomal RNA", at positions 524 to 776 of the family's 1533-position model. The record is from RNAcentral.
UACGUAGGGGGCGAGCGUUGUCCGGAAUUAUUGGGCGUAAAGAGCGUGUAGGCGGUUCGGUAAGUCUGCCGUGAAAACCUGGGGCUCAACCCUGGGCGUGCGGUGGAUACUGCCGGGCUAGAGGGUGGUAGAGGCGAGUGGAAUUCCCGGUGUAGCGGUGAAAUGCGCAGAUAUCAGGAAGAACACCCGUGGCGAAAGCGGCUCUCUGGAACGGUACUGACGCUGAGACGCGAAAGCGUGGGGAGCGAACAGG